Molecule: ribosomal RNA, 377 nt
Filed under: uncultured bacterium
Lineage: Bacteria
Description: bacterial SSU rRNA
Rfam family: Bacterial small subunit ribosomal RNA
Source: RNAcentral
UAAUACGUAGGAGGCAAGCGUUAUCCGGAUUUAUUGGGCGUAAAGCGCGUGCAGGUGGUUUGGUAAGUUGGGUAUGAAAUCUUCUGGCUUAACUGGGAGAGGUUGCUCAAAACUGCCAGACUAGAGGACGGUAGAGGGAGGUGGAAUUCCCGGUGUAGUAGUGAAAUGCGUAGAUAUCGGGAGGAACACCAGUGGCGAAGGCGGCCUCCUGGGCCGUCCCUGACACUAAGACGCGAAAGCAUGGGUAGCAAACGGGAUUAGAAACCCCGGUAGUCCAUGCCGUAAACGAUGUGGACUUGAUGUCGGUAACGUAAUAGUUAUCGGUGUCGUAGUUAACGCGAUAAGUCCACCGCCUGGGGAGUACGAUCGCAAGGUUA